CAACGUAGGUAACCUGCCCAUGUGUCUGGGAUAACUGCUGGAAACGGUAGCUAAAACCGGAUAGGUAUACGGAGCGCAUGCUCUGUAUAUUAAAGCGCCCUUCAAGGCGUGAACAUGGAUGGACCUGCGGCGCAUUAGCUAGUUGGUGAGGUAACGGCCCACCAAGGCGAUGAUGCGUAGCCGGCCUGAGAGGGUAAACGGCCACAUUGGGACUGAGACACGGCCCAA
Molecule: ribosomal RNA, 228 nt
Filed under: uncultured bacterium
Lineage: Bacteria
Description: partial 16S ribosomal RNA
Rfam family: Bacterial small subunit ribosomal RNA
Source: RNAcentral